RNAcentral lists this ribosomal RNA (310 nucleotides) under uncultured bacterium. Its description in RNAcentral is "bacterial SSU rRNA". It matches the Rfam family "Bacterial small subunit ribosomal RNA", at positions 202 to 507 of the family's 1533-position model. The record is from RNAcentral.
UCGGACCUUGCGCUAUUGGAUGAGCCUAUGUCGGAUUAGUUAGUUGGUGGGGUAAAGGCCUACCAAGGCAGCGAUCCGUAGCUGGUCUUAGAGGAUGAUCAGCCACAUCGGGACUGAGACACGGCCCGAACUCCUACGGGAGGCAGCAGUGGGGAAUAUUGCACAAUGGGCGCAAGCCUGAUGCAGCUAUGCCGCGUGUGUGAAGAAGGCCUUAGGGUUGUAAAGCACUUUCAGUAGUGANGGAAAAGUGUUGUGUUAAUAGCGCAAUGCUGUGACGUUAGCUACAGAAGAAGGACCGGCAAACUCCGUG